UACGAGGGGGGCGAGCGUUGUUCGGAAUUAUUGGGCGUAAAGGGUGCGUAGGCGGUUCGGUAAGUUUCGUGUGAAAUCUUCGGGCUCAACUCGAAGCCUGCACGAGAUACUGCCGGGCUUGAGUGUGGGAGAGGUGAGUGGAAUUUCCGGUGUAGCGGUGAAAUGCGUAGAGACCCGGAGGAACACCAGUGGCGAAGGCGGCUUCCUGGUCUGCGACUGACGCUGUGGCGCGAAAGCUAGGGGAGCGAACGGG
This 253-nucleotide ribosomal RNA is filed under the name uncultured bacterium. Its description in RNAcentral is "partial 16S ribosomal RNA". It matches the Rfam family "Bacterial small subunit ribosomal RNA", at positions 524 to 776 of the family's 1533-position model. The record is from RNAcentral.